GUGGAAGUCACUUUUUUGGGGAAAGAAGCUCAAAAACUUCUUGGCCUAGAUCCUUCCGAGUUUUAUAAAAAACAAAAUCAAGGACCCAUAACGCAGGUGGAUUUUCUUAGGCAACGCCUAUGCAAUAUUGUCUUACUCUUAAAGUUAAAAAGUCGAAUAUUUAAAGAUGUUUGUACUUUCACUGCGGAUGCUAUUGAGAUUUUACAAGAUGAUGGUGCAAUACCAUCUGAGAAAAGUAGCAUUGAACCUGAAGCUCAUCUGGAGCAAGGGCUGCUAAAAAGUGCGACGAGACAAUUGGUUUUUCCCGAGUCAUUAGAUAAUGAUGAAGACAUUCGAGCAAAGGAUGCUGCCAAAGCUAAAGGCAAGGGGAAAAUAUCCCAAGAAAGCCAUGUUGAAU
Molecule: long non-coding RNA, 397 nt
Organism: Salvia miltiorrhiza (redroot sage)
Lineage: Eukaryota; Viridiplantae; Streptophyta; Magnoliopsida; Lamiales; Lamiaceae
Exons: 4
Source: RefSeq, a predicted model, not a curated record